GCAGAAUCCACGGUUCCAUUUGUCUAUCUCUUCUAAUUUUUUGACACCCACUCCCUUCUGCCUGCAGGGUCCUGUGAAUGUUUUCAAGGCUUUCCCCUGAGAACCUGCCUGCCCCUGGUGAAUUCUCCAGCACAGGAUAUACUGUGUUACCCUGUGAGAGAUUUCCAGUUCCUUCCUUCUGGAAGCCUGGAGUUGCCUGCUCUGCACACCACUCCUGUGCUCUGAUGCUAUUUAACGAUGACAGUGACCUUGACACUGCAAAGCUCCUGGUGCUUCCAGUGCUUCCAGCCCUGCACUGAAUGCCCUCUCGGCAAUCACUGUGACUCACUGUUAUAUGAAGAAAGAGACACAGUGGAAUAAGACUUGCUUUAAAGGAUUGCAAGAGGUGUGAUUGGUUAGAUCCUGCGGUCUGCGUGUUAAUGUCUGUCACAGAAUCUGUGUGCUGGAAACUGAAGUCCAAUAUAGUCACAGUACUAAGCAGUACUGAGAGCCAUUGAACUGUACACUGAGCGCAUGCGGCUACAGCAACCAUAACUGCAACAUACGUAUAAGACUCCCUCUCCCAUCUUUGAAGAUACACUGAAUUAUUUCCAUUCUAUUCAAGUCAACCAGGACACUGUUUCAAACUGGAUCAUGACUCAUCAUAAGGUCAUAAAAAUCAAUUGAACUGAUUAUGACCAGCUCUCUAAUGGUUUACAUUGAUCGUCAACUUGAAAGGGUCUAGAGUCAUCUUGGAGACAAAUCGCUGGACUUGUCUGUAAGGGAAUUUUCUAGAUUGGACCAACUGAGGCAGGAAGAGCCACCAUGAAUGUAGAUGGCGCAAUCCCAUGGCUUGGGGUCUUGCACUAAAUUCAACAGUGGAAGCAAGUGAAGCAUCCAUAGCGAUCGCUCUUCACCUUCUGAGUGGGGACAAUCUGGAGCUGCCUCCCUCUCCACAUGCCAUGACUUCCAUGCCACAAUGGACCCUAAUAUUGUGAGCAAAAAAGUAAACCUUUUCUUCCUUAAGUGGCUGCUGUCAUAUGUUUUGUCAUAGCAAUGAGAAAAAAAAUAACAAAUACAGCAGCUUGAAAAAGAACACAACAGAACAGAAAGCGUCAGGCCAAGUGGGGCUUUGCUUGCAAUAGAGUUUGUGCAUGAAAACUUUAUUCUGAUGUGUGUAUGCAUUUACUAUGUACACAUAUUGUGUGAUAGUUUAAUACACAUUUCUUAUCAUGACUGGUAAACGUGUUUAAAAUAGCUAGUUAAAAUGUGAAGUCCACAAAGGUACAGUUCUAUCUGUCCACUCUUGCUUCUCUGGUAGCUGCUAACUGGCAUAUAUUGCCUGAAUAAAUAAAUGGC
Molecule: long non-coding RNA, 1338 nt
Organism: Meriones unguiculatus (Mongolian gerbil)
Lineage: Eukaryota; Metazoa; Chordata; Mammalia; Rodentia; Muridae
Exons: 4
Source: RefSeq, a predicted model, not a curated record